AUACGCAUUCGGGGUCAGUGAAAGUCUGAACCGGCGGUUAUAGUCCGCGACCCGCUAAGGCGGUUGAGCUGGUGAAAUUCCGGCACCGACGGUAAAAGUCCGGAAGGGAGAAUGUUACA
RNAcentral lists this non-coding RNA (119 nucleotides) under Winkia neuii. RNAcentral describes it as "Actinomyces neuii FMN sequence". It matches the Rfam family "FMN riboswitch aptamer (RFN element)". Rfam says of the family: The RFN element is a highly conserved domain that is found frequently in the 5'-untranslated regions of prokaryotic mRNAs that encode for flavin mononucleotide (FMN) biosynthesis and transport proteins. This element is a metabolite-dependent riboswitch that directly binds FMN in the absence of proteins. In Bacillus subtilis, the riboswitch most likely controls gene expression by causing premature transcription termination within the 5' untranslated region of the ribDEAHT operon and precluding access to the ribosome-binding site of ypaA mRNA. Lineage: Bacteria; Bacillati; Actinomycetota; Actinomycetes; Actinomycetales; Actinomycetaceae. The record is from RNAcentral. RNAcentral also lists the same sequence under 1 other name.